AUAAUUUGGUGUUUCUCGAUUGUAGGCUGACAUUGGUCUCGAGACGCGCCUCAGAAUCGUUUUUUGGGCGUUUCGCCUCGAGACGCGCCUUGAGGCGCAUGCCUAACGUUUUUUAAAACCAUGAUUCAGAGUCAUUGAUAAUAUAUAAACUGUUUCUGUUGUUAAUAUUUCUUUUUGUGUUGUUUUGCAGUCAACUUGUGUGCGUAGACCGAAAUAUAUAAUGUGCACAGGUGGUGAUCCUUCUGGAUACAUCCCUACAUAUACCACUCAUAACACAACAUCCAGUGAAUCUAUGGCUGGGAGUAUGUGGACAAACUUGUCUUCAUGGAUGCCACGUAGAGAGGUGCUUCCGCAGUCAACAGAAGAAAAUAGCAGAUUCCCUGGGCGUGGAAGGGCACUUAGUGCACCUCAAACCGAAAUGGGCCCCACCAAUGGUAAUGACUCGAGUCUACAGGCUAGACUUUUAGAAAGUGGCAACAGCCCGGUUCACCCAUUGAAAUCUCGUUUGAAGGUCGCCAGAGCACCUGGAUGGCAGCAAGGCGUGUUAGCGUCUUGCCUGAGGGCCUAGGCACGUGCCCGAAGGGCUUUCGACAACAUAGGGUCACGGACGCCCAGGGGCGGCCAGACGGAGACAUCAGUAAUGUAGAUAGGAAUCGGAGAUAGAGAGAAGUGGGGUCCGCCAUCCGUGAUGUCAGCCAAUGUGGAAAGAGAGAACUAUUCGUGAGGUCACGAGAGUGCAGAUGCCUUUAUGUCUACGGUUUGGCUAUGCAUAUGCCUUUGUCUCAUUGUAGCUAUGAUUCAUUGUUAUUAGAUUAGAACAUUUGUCAAGUUUCUAUUGAGUUGUCACGCUUUGACUAUUCAUGGUCAAUGCUUAAUGUUAGGCUGGCGAUGCUCUCAUACAACUAUAUAACAAUUUCAUAACCGACUUCGAGACUAAGAUCAACCUUCUAAAGCUAGCACACUUUGCUGUUAUAGUCUCUCGCCAAUACUCCGAAAAAGACGCUGCAAUCAGUUAUCUCAAUGGGGUGAUUGAAAAGCUCAAAGCUACAAAACACUUUGCUGUUAUAGCACACUAGCCAUUUUUACAUGGUGAACUCGGUAACCCGGGCGAUCAAAUGGCUGCGCUAUGGUCAACUCGGUAACCCGGACGGUUAACAAGCACCUUUCCUCAAAGUCCCACCAAGUUUUUUCAAACUUUGCUAUAUCCCUUAGUGUAACCGUAUUAACUUGUACAUCAUGUUUUAAAUGUGGUGUAUUUGUUUGAAUGACAAAUCUUUUGUUUUAUUGUAA
Helianthus annuus (common sunflower) is the source of this 1290-nucleotide long non-coding RNA. RefSeq lists it as uncharacterized. NCBI's taxonomy places the organism in Eukaryota, Viridiplantae, Streptophyta, Magnoliopsida, Asterales, Asteraceae. The record is from RefSeq and is a predicted model, not a curated record. The transcript has 4 exons.